RNAcentral lists this small RNA (92 nucleotides) under Pedobacter psychrophilus. RNAcentral's name for it is "Pedobacter sp. CCM 8644 Flavo-1 RNA". It matches the Rfam family "Flavo-1 RNA". The record is from Rfam by way of RNAcentral. Lineage: Bacteria; Pseudomonadati; Bacteroidota; Sphingobacteriia; Sphingobacteriales; Sphingobacteriaceae.
UUUUUGCGUUAGGGAUUGAAACGGCAUCCUUUUUUUGCCUCUAGCCAUUAAGCAAAUAGCAAAAAAAGAUAUAGUGAAAAGCCCGCCCGAAC